RNAcentral lists this ribosomal RNA (207 nucleotides) under uncultured bacterium. RNAcentral describes it as "partial 16S ribosomal RNA". It matches the Rfam family "Bacterial small subunit ribosomal RNA", at positions 568 to 774 of the family's 1533-position model. The record is from RNAcentral.
CGCGUAGGCGGCUCGGUAAGUCUGGAGUGAAAGUCCUGGCUUCAAGUUGGGAAUUGCUUUGGAUACUGUCGGGCUUGAGUGCAGGAGAGGUUAGUGGAAUUCCCAGUGUAGCGGUGAAAUGCGUAGAGAUUGGGAGGAACACCAGUGGCGAAGGCGACUAACUGGACUGUAACUGACGCUGAGGCGCGAAAGUGUGGGGAGCAAACA